GACGUAGGGCGCGAGCGUUGUCCGGAUUUAUUGGGCGUAAAGAGCUCGUAGGCGGCUUGUCGCGUCGAAUGUGAAAACCCACGGCUCAACUGUGGGCUUGCAUUCGAUACGGGCAGGCUAGAGUUCGGUAGGGGAGACUGGAAUUCCUGGUGUAGCGGUGAAAUGACGCAGAUAUCAGGAGGAACACCGGUGGCGAAGGCGGAUCUCUGGGCCGAUACUGACGCUGAGGAGCGAAAGCGUGGGGAGCGAACAGG
RNAcentral lists this ribosomal RNA (254 nucleotides) under uncultured bacterium. RNAcentral describes it as "partial 16S ribosomal RNA". It matches the Rfam family "Bacterial small subunit ribosomal RNA", at positions 524 to 776 of the family's 1533-position model. The record is from RNAcentral.